AAAGGACUUUGAAAAGAGAGUUAAAAGGGCGUGAAACUGCACUUUGAAAAGCGGAUGAGUACGCAUGGGUUCAAGCUACCAUUCAAGCAUGCGCGAUUUGUUGAGGUGGAGUCCUGAUGAAGGACUUGCCGCAAUAUUUUGUGCAUGCUGCAUUUGGCAGCUUGGCGUUCUGCUUGACUUUGCUGGGGCGAUACUUGCAGUGAAGCAUGCUUACCAUUGGUUUGGUUUGCAUUUCGCUUGUGACCUUCUGAUAUUGAAAGAUGAAGGAAAUUUAACGUAAGAAUCUGUGCGUUGUUUCUUCGUGAAAUGACGACAGAUGUCGGCUAAGGCAAGGUUUGGCAAACUCACAUUCACACUCUCAUCAGUUGUUGAUUGCUUGACCGCAAUCGCAACGAGGGAUUGAAUGCUGAAAGCAGAUUCGUUUGUGGCAUCAUUCGAACCGUCUUGAAACACGGGCUAAGGAGUUCAACAGAUGCGCGAGUUUACUGGUUCGGCGAAACCAGAUGGCUAAGUUAACGCGACUUUGUGUAUUAUAGUGAGAACUCGGUCCUGCAAUCAUCGCAGGUCGAGGUCAUCACUUACGAUGGAUGGCAUGUUGGGUACCGAUUGCUAUUCGCAGUCGAGCGCAUGUGCUGAGACCCGAAAGAUGGUGAACUAUGCUUGAGUAGGAUGAAGCCGGAGGAAACUCUGGUGGAGGUCCGAAGCGUUUUUGACGUGCAAAUCAAUCGUCAGACUUGGGUAUAGGGGCGAAAGACUAAUCGAACCAUCUAGUAGCUGGUUCCCUUCGAAGUUUCCCCCAGGAAAGCUGGUGCCGUGUGUGGCAGUUUUAUCUGGUAAAGCGAAUGAUUAGAGGAAUUGGGGACAAAUAGUCCUUGACCUAUUCUCAAACUUUAAAUGGGUAAUAGGCCUCCGCACUGCUUGGCUUUUGCUGAGUGCGUGAGGUAGAAUGCAAUGGCGCCAAGUGGGCCAUUUUUGGUAAGCAGAACUGGCGAUGUGGGAUGAACCAAACGUUGAGCUAAGAUGCCUAAAGUGCUUCUCAUGAGAUACCAUGAAAGGUGUCAGUCGAUAUUGACAGCAGGACGGUGGCCGCAGAAGUAGGAAUCCGCUAAGGAGUGUGUAACAACUCACCUGCCGAAUCGACUGGUCCUGAAAAUGGAUGGCGCUUGAGACGCAUAUCUAUGCUCGACCGUCAGUGCCAAUCCAAGUUAGCGAUUAUUAAAAGGCCUGACGUGUAGAAGGGCGGUUGCCAUAGCAUGGAAGCCUGCACCGUAAGGUGGGGCAGAGCUGUGGCAUGUGCAGAUCUUGGUGGUAGUAGCAAGUAUUCAACUGAGAGCAUUGAAGACUGAAGUGGAGUAAGGUUCCAUGUGAACAUCAUUUGGACAUGGAUCAGCCGAUCCUAAGAGAACGAGUAAGCUCGUGAUAAAGUGCGUCGCUUCGAGCGAAGCAAUCGAAAGGGAAUCGGGUUAAUAUUCCCGAGCCAGGAUACGGAAUGUGUUUGAGGCUUCGAGCGUACCGGCUUGUCUGGUGCGUUCGAUUUCAAACAAAAGCGGCAACGCUGACAAACUCAGAGAUUAACUACGCGAAGUCCGGAGAAGAGUUUUCUCUUCUUUGUUAGGAAUGUCAUCCCUGGAAACAGAUUGUCUGGCGAUAGGGUACACAUUCCGUAAUGCAACGCGAUUCCUGCGAUGUACCGUGCGCUUCGCAUAGUGCUUGAAAAUCUGGGGGCGAGAUUGUUCAUGCCGUACCUGUUCGUACUGAUUUCCGCAUCAGGUCUCCAAGGUGAGCAGCCUCUAGUCGAUGGGACAAAGUAGACAAGGGAAGUCGGCAAAUUAGAUCCGUAACUUCGGAAAAAGGAUUGGCUCUAAAAGCUGAGUUGGUCGGGCUGUUGCGUGAAUCAGAACGUUGAGAUGGAGAUUUGUUUCCGAUUUCGCGCUCGCAAGGGAUGCGGGGUCGGGGACGGACUUCAUGUUUUACGUUCCGUGGAAGGUGAUUGCUAUGCCGCGCAUGUUGUUGUACAUUCGCGUGCGUUUGUGCGCGAUGUGUUGCGGAUCCGACCAGCGUUAAACGGCUGACUUAGAACUGGUAUGGACAAGAGGAAUCCAACUGUUUAAUUAAAACAAAGCAUUGCGAUAGCUGUAACCGGUGUUGACGCGAUGUGAUUUCUGCCCAGUGCUCUGAAUGUUAAAGUGAAGGAACUCAUGUAAGCGCGAGUAAACGGCGGACGUGACGUGCAUGAAUGGAUUAUUGAGAUUCCUUCUGUCCCUGUCUGCGACCUAGCGAAACCACAGCCAAGGGAACGGGCUUGGAGAAUAACAGCGGGGAAAGAAGACCCUGUUGAGCUUGACUCUAGUCAGUCUCUGUGAAGAAACAUGAUGGGUGUAGAAUAGGUGGGAGGCCGCGUCAGUGAAAUACCACUACCAUUAUCGUUUUUUUACUUACUCAAUUGAUCAGUGAGCGUGCAUUCGCUGUUUGCGAUAUAUGAUCAUUCCCUCAGCGGAAUGAGUGUCUGGUUUGAGAACACAGACUGAUUGGGAGUUUGACUGGGGCGGUACAUCUGUUAAAAUCUAACGCAGGUGUCCUAAGGCGAUCUCAGCGUGGACAGAAACCUCGCAUAGAGCGGAAGGGCAAAAGAUUGCUUGAUCUUGAUUUUCAGUACGAAUAAAGACAAUGAAAGUUUGGCUUGUCGAUCCUUUUGAAUUUUACGAGUUUUAAGCAAGAGGUGUCAGAAAAGUUACCACAGGGAUAACUGGCUUGUGGCGGCCAAGCGUCCACAGCGACGUCGCUUUUUGAUCCUUCGAUGUC
This 2802-nucleotide ribosomal RNA is filed under the name Floridosentis mugilis. RNAcentral describes it as "eukaryotic LSU rRNA". It matches the Rfam family "Eukaryotic large subunit ribosomal RNA", at positions 368 to 2885 of the family's 3401-position model. The record is from RNAcentral. Lineage: Eukaryota; Metazoa; Acanthocephala; Eoacanthocephala; Neoechinorhynchida; Neoechinorhynchidae.